Molecule: ribosomal RNA, 356 nt
Filed under: uncultured bacterium
Lineage: Bacteria
Description: bacterial SSU rRNA
Rfam family: Bacterial small subunit ribosomal RNA
Source: RNAcentral
UAUGCAGCCUGACCGCAGCAGGGGGAUAAGCGGGAGAAAUCCCGUUUAAUGGCACAUAAAGCCGGAGGGGGACAUCCCCUUCCGGCCAAAGGGCAACCGGCAGCGGAUGGGCAUGCGGCGCAUUAGCUGGUUGGCGGGGUAACGGCCCACCAAGGCGACGAUGCGUAGGGGUUCUGAGAGGAAGGUCCCCCACACUGGUACUGAGACACGGACCAGACUCCUACGGGAGGCAGCAGUGAGGAAUAUUGGUCAAUGGGCGGGAGCCUGAACCAAGGAAGUCGCGUGAGGGAGGAAGGUCCUCCGGAUCGUUAAACGAUUUGCCGGGGAGCAAGGCGGCCCACGCGUGGGCGUCGGAG